Molecule: long non-coding RNA, 218 nt
Filed under: Panax ginseng (ginseng)
Lineage: Eukaryota; Viridiplantae; Streptophyta; Magnoliopsida; Apiales; Araliaceae
Description: long non-coding RNA (PGIN_LNC006911)
Source: RNAcentral
GUAGAAUCCAAUUGGACUUGGAUUAUGUUAAGCCCAAUGAUUUGUGAAAUUAAGCUCAAUAUAGGCCCAAUAAGAAUUAGGGUUAAGGCCCAAACCAAGAAAAGAAAUAGCGGAUUGAACCGAUGGGUAAAUGGAUGGGUAAUAACCAUUGGGGAAACCCAUGGGGCAUGUGGGGCGACCACUUGGUCACCAAGUAAACUUGGUGGCUAAGCCAUGAA